ACAACCUCACUCAUAUGGGACUACCCCCUGAAUUUAACCUAUAAUUAGGGGAGGAAAAGAAACUAACAAGGUUUUCUUCUAGCGGCGAGCGAAAGAAAUCAUUCAGCACUAAUCACUUUGUCUAUAUGGCAAUUGAAAGCAUGUAGGACUCACUUCUAUAUAGAGUACGAUUAGUCUCUAAUGAGCUUACCUA
Molecule: non-coding RNA, 193 nt
Filed under: Drosophila virilis
Lineage: Eukaryota; Metazoa; Arthropoda; Insecta; Diptera; Drosophilidae
Description: Eukaryotic large subunit ribosomal RNA
Rfam family: Eukaryotic large subunit ribosomal RNA
Source: Rfam by way of RNAcentral